Long non-coding RNA from Anopheles merus, 1488 nucleotides. RefSeq lists it as uncharacterized. The transcript has 2 exons. The record is from RefSeq and is a predicted model, not a curated record. NCBI's taxonomy places the organism in Eukaryota, Metazoa, Arthropoda, Insecta, Diptera, Culicidae.
GUGAUAAUUACCAUUUCAGCGCCAUCGGUUAACUCCCUCUGCCCCAAAAAAAAAACAUAUUGAACGCCAUCAUCUUGGCCACCCCUCAUUUACCCAUCGAUUUUUGAACCGGCUGCCGGUUCGGUCGGUCGGUCGGUCGGUUGGCGGGAAAAUACGUGACAAAAUUUCACAAUCUCCCAACCCCAACCCCGAAUGCUCCGUAUUGCGCCGUUAACGCGGUACCGAAUCGAUUUCACCGCCCCACCACGCUGCUGCUGUUCCCACCCCAUCACCCCACAAGGAAAAUAGCGCCACCCGAAGAAAUUGCGCCUUAUUUUUCGCAUCGUGCGUACGCGCCACACUUUUGCCCUUUUACACACAAACACGCGCGCGCGCGCGUAUGUGUAGGUAAGCAGGCGGAAAACCCACGUUAACGUGUGUGUGUGUGUGUGUGUGUGUGUGUGUGUGUGUGUGUGUGAGUAGGUCUUGUGAUGGGAAAAGGGAAAUCAAACAACCCGGGGAAAAAAACAGGGCAACAUCAUCAUCCCGUGUGCGGGACCGUACGCUUUGCGGGAGAUGAAACACACACACACACGAUGGCGGCAAGUGAUAUGAUAUGGCUUAUCGAGAGAUUUAGGAAUUUUGAACUAUUUUUCCAUGAUUCCAAGCAAUGUUGCAAUGUUGCAAAAACGAGCUUCUAAUUACACGCGUAUCCCCGCCAACAUGCGGCGUUUGCUGUUUUCGGGGUUUGCGUAGAGAAAUAGAGAGAGAGAGAGAGCGCGCGGGUUUUGGCAACGCCCAUUAGCAACGGGCUUGUCUCACUAAUCACACCGCUUGUUGGAGUAGGCUUUGGAGCCGGAUGGUGCAUAAUGUUGCGGCGGUAGUAGCACUUACACACGUACGGAGGAAUACGGUGGUGGUGGUGGUGGUGACCAGAAGAUCCGGGCAGCAGCAGAAGAUCCGGUGCUGCCGACAGGUCGGUUUGCCGCUCACACACUGCGGUGGACCAAUUAUCGGGCACCAGCAGCGCGUGUGUGUGUGUGUGGGUAUCGAUUAGUACACGCCAGUCUAUUUAUAAACAAAUUGUCCUAGAUACCGACCUAGCGGAACCGCGUCAUAUCCGCCCGUUUUUCGCUACCAGGCGCCAAGGCCGGACACAGCCGAAGCCGGGUAUGCGCGCGGUGGUUACGUGCGGAAGGGACUGUGAAGUGGGCAGCGAUUUGUGCCACCACCUUGUGCAUGUUGUUCCCGGUUCCGUUCCACACACACACACCACGAGGCAGUUGGAAAAUGGAGCAACAUUUUGGAGACGUAAUAAAAGAGCGAGCUAGCAGCAGCAGCAGCAGGAGACCCGCGCGAGUCCCUUUGGAGGAUGAAGGCGCACGCUGGAGCGGUCAAAGGGAUGAAGGCCCGUAGUAAAAACCCCUCACACAUCACAUAUACGCCGGCGCGGCAGACACGCAGUGCCACUGAAAAGAGAGAAAAAGAGAGAGAGAGUGAGAGAGUUAA